This 515-nucleotide ribosomal RNA is filed under the name uncultured Glomus. RNAcentral describes it as "SSU rRNA". It matches the Rfam family "Eukaryotic small subunit ribosomal RNA", at positions 569 to 1085 of the family's 1831-position model. The record is from RNAcentral. Lineage: Eukaryota; Fungi; Glomeromycota; Glomeromycetes; Glomerales; Glomeraceae.
AGCAGCCGCGGUAAUUCCAGCUCCAAUAGCGUAUAUUAAAGUUGUUGCAGUUAAAAAGCUCGUAGUUGAAUUUCGGGACCAUCAUGUCGGUCGUGCCUCGGUACGUACUGGUAUUGUUGGUUUCUCCCUUCUGACGAACCAUGAUGUCAUUUAUUUGGUGUUGUGGGGAAUCAGGACUGUUACUUUGAAAAAUUAGAGUGUUUAAAGCAGGCUCACGCUUGAAUACAUUAGCAUGGAAUAAUGAAAUAGGACGUUUGAUUCUAUUUUGUUGGUUUCUAGGAUCGACGUAAUGAUUAAUAGGGAUAGUUGGGGGCAUUAGUAUUCAAUUGUCAGAGGUGAAAUUCUUGGAUUUAUUGAAGACUAACUACUGCGAAAAGCUAUUUGCCAAGGAUGUUUUCAUUAAUCAAGAACGAAGUUAGGGGAUCGAAGACGAUCAGAUACCGUCGUAGUCUUAACCAUAAACUAUGCCGACUAGGGAUCGGAUGAUGUUUAAUUUUUAAUGUACUCAUUCGGCG